GGGGCCUGUUUAUCGAAGCUCUCUUAGGAUUAGAACGUGUCCUAAGACCAACUUAGGACACAUCUUAGUCCUAAGUGGUUUAUCAAACAUGUCUCAACUUAGGAAAACCCUAGGAAUUGUCCUAACUUUAGGAUACCAAUUUAGGUGUCUUAAGAUGGUCGAAGGAUGGUCCUAACUUUAGGAUAUAUUCAAUUUCGUCUUUUGUUCAUUUUCACACG
This 218-nucleotide long non-coding RNA is filed under the name Mytilus galloprovincialis (Mediterranean mussel). Lineage: Eukaryota; Metazoa; Mollusca; Bivalvia; Mytilida; Mytilidae. The record is from RNAcentral.